RNAcentral lists this ribosomal RNA (303 nucleotides) under uncultured Planctomycetota bacterium. Its description in RNAcentral is "bacterial SSU rRNA". It matches the Rfam family "Bacterial small subunit ribosomal RNA", at positions 29 to 351 of the family's 1533-position model. Lineage: Bacteria; Pseudomonadati; Planctomycetota. The record is from RNAcentral.
AAUGAACGUUGGCGGCGUGGAUUAGGCAUGCAAGUCGCGCGACAAGGUCCGCAAGGACUGGAGGAGCGGCAAACGGGGUAGUAAGGCAUCGGAACGUACCCUUCAGUCGGGGAUAGCGGCGGGAAACUGCCGGUAAUACCCGAUGAUCUCUUCGGAGCAAAGGUCUGCCGCUGAGGGAGCGGCCGAUGUGAUAUCAGCUAGUUGGUAGGGUAAUGGCCUACCAAGGCGAAGACGUCUAGGGGGUGUGAGAGCACGACCCCCACACUGGGACUGAGAUACUGCCCAGACACCUACGGGAGGCUG